AGUGAGCGCUGGCGGUAGGCCUAACACAUGCAAGUCGAACGGCAGCACAGAGGAGCUUGCUCCUUGGGUGGCGAGUGGCGGACGGGUGAGGAAUACAUCGGAAUCUACUCUGUCGUGGGGGAUAACGUAGGGAAACUUACGCUAAUACCGCAUACGACCUACGGGUGAAAGCAGGGGAUCUUCGGACCUUGCGCGAUUGAAUGAGCCGAUGUCGGACUAGCUAGUUGGCGGGGUAAAGGCCCACCAAGGCGACGAUCCGUAGCUGGUCUGAGAGGAUGAUCAGCCACACUGGAACUGAGACACGGUCCAGACUCCUACGGGAGGCAGCAGUGGGGAAUAUUGGACAAUGGGCGCAAGCCUGAUCCAGCCAUACCGCGUGGGUGAAGAAGGCCUUCGGAUUGUAAAGCCCUUUUGUUGGGAAAGAAAUCCAUCUGGUUAAUACCCGGGUGGGAUGACGGUACCCAAAGAAUAAGCACCGGCUAACUUCGUGCCAGCCGCCGCCGUAA
This 506-nucleotide ribosomal RNA is filed under the name uncultured bacterium. RNAcentral's name for it is "partial 16S ribosomal RNA". It matches the Rfam family "Bacterial small subunit ribosomal RNA", at positions 29 to 523 of the family's 1533-position model. The record is from RNAcentral.